This 284-nucleotide ribosomal RNA is filed under the name Navicula phyllepta. RNAcentral's name for it is "partial small subunit ribosomal RNA". The record is from RNAcentral. Lineage: Eukaryota; Bacillariophyta; Bacillariophyceae; Naviculales; Naviculaceae.
CUGUGUGGCAUUAGGUUGUCGUGCAGGGGAUGCCCAUCGUUUACUGUGAAAAAAUUAGAGUGUUCMAAGCAGGCUUAUGCCGUUGAAUAUAUUAGCAUGGAAUAAUAAGAUAGGACUUUUUCGCUAUUUUGUUGGUUUGCGCGAAGAGGUAAUGAUUAAUAGGGACAGUUGGGGGUAUUCGUAUUCCAUUGUCAGAGGUGAAAUUCUUGGAUUUUUGGAAGACGAACUACUGCGAAAGCAUUUACCAAGGAUGUUUUCAUUAAUCAAGAACGAAAGUUAGGGGA